RNAcentral lists this ribosomal RNA (106 nucleotides) under uncultured bacterium. RNAcentral describes it as "partial 16S ribosomal RNA". It matches the Rfam family "Bacterial small subunit ribosomal RNA", at positions 1379 to 1482 of the family's 1533-position model. The record is from RNAcentral.
CCUUGUACACACCGCCCGUCACACCAUGGGAGUUGGUUUCACCCGAAGGUGGUGCGCUAACCCGCAAGGGGGGCAGCCAACCACGGUGGGAUCAGCGACUGGGGUG